AUUUAAGUAGUUUAUUAUAAAAUUUUGGUUUGUGGGGCCAAGGAUGUAAAGUGUUACCUUAAAUC
This 65-nucleotide transfer RNA is filed under the name Nihonogomphus semanticus. RNAcentral's name for it is "tRNA-His". The record is from RNAcentral. Lineage: Eukaryota; Metazoa; Arthropoda; Insecta; Odonata; Gomphidae.